Molecule: ribosomal RNA, 446 nt
Filed under: uncultured bacterium
Lineage: Bacteria
Description: partial 16S ribosomal RNA
Rfam family: Bacterial small subunit ribosomal RNA
Source: RNAcentral
CCUACGGGAGGCUGCAGUCGAGAAUCAUUCACAAUGGGGGAAACCCUGAUGGUGCGACGCCGCGUGGGGGAAUGAAGGUCUUCGGAUUGUAAACCCCUGUCAUGUGGGAGCAAAUUAAAAAGAUAGUACCACAAGAGGAAGAGACGGCUAACUCUGUGCCAGCAGCCGCGGUAAUACAGAGGUCUCAAGCGUUGUUCGGAAUCACUGGGCGUAAAGCGUGCGUAGGCUGUUUCGAAAGUCGUGUGUGAAAGGCGCGGGCUCAACCCGCGGACGGCACAUGAUACUGCGAGACUAGAGUAAGGGAGGGGGAACCGGAAUUCGCGGUGUAGCAGUGAAAUGCGUAGAUAUCGAGAGGAACACUCGUGGCGAAGGCGGGUUCCUGGACAUUAACUGACGCUGAGGCACGAAGGCCAGGGGAGCGAAAGGGAUUAGAUACCCUAGUAGUC